GAUGAACGCUGGCGGUAUGCUUAACACAUGCGAGUCGAACGGACUCUUCGGAGUUAGUGGCGGACGGGUGAGUAACGCGUGAGAAUCUGGCUUUGGGUUCGGGACAACCACUGGAAACGGUGGCUAAUACCGGAUGUGCCGAGAGGUAAAAGAGAAAUUGCCUGAAGAUGAGCUCGCGUCUGAUUAGCUAGUUGGUGAGGUAAAGGCUCACCAAGGCAGCGAUCAGUAGCUGGUCUGAGAGGAUGACCAGCCACACUGGGACUGAGACACGGCCCAGACUCCUACGGGAGGCAGCAGGGGGGAAUUUUCCGCAAUGGGCGAAAGCCUGACGGAGCAAUACCGCGUGAGGGAAGAAGGCUCUUGGGUUGUAAACCUCUUUUCUUAGGGAAGAACAAAAUGACGGUACCUAAGGAAUCAGCAUCGGCUAACUCCGUG
Molecule: ribosomal RNA, 435 nt
Filed under: uncultured bacterium
Lineage: Bacteria
Description: partial 16S ribosomal RNA
Rfam family: Bacterial small subunit ribosomal RNA
Source: RNAcentral